This 451-nucleotide ribosomal RNA is filed under the name uncultured bacterium. Its description in RNAcentral is "partial 16S ribosomal RNA". It matches the Rfam family "Bacterial small subunit ribosomal RNA", at positions 28 to 507 of the family's 1533-position model. The record is from RNAcentral.
AGCGAACGCUGGCGGCAUGCCUAACACAUGCAAGUCGCACGGGGGGGCUUCGGCCUCCCAGUGGCGGACGGGUGAGGAACGCGUAGGGACCUGUCGAGGGGUGGGGGAUAACCGCGGGAAACUGCGGCUAAUACCGCAUGACGCCGCGGCGUGACAGCCGGGGCCAAAGGCGAAAGCCGCCCGCCGAGGGGCCUGCGUCCGAUUAGCUGGUUGGCGGGGUAGCGGCCCACCAAGGCGUCGAUCGGUAGCUGGUCUGAGAGGGUGAUCAGCCACACCGGGACUGGGACACGGCCCGGACUCCUACGGGAGGCAGCAGUGGGGAAUAUUGGACAGUGGGCGCAAGCAUGAUCCAGCAAUGCCGGGUGGGUGAAGAAGGUCUUCGGAUUGUAAAGCCCUUUCGGCGGGGACGAUGGUGACGGUACCCGCAGAAGAAGCCCCGGCUAACUUCGUG